RNAcentral lists this unclassified non-coding RNA (341 nucleotides) under soil metagenome. Its description in RNAcentral is "partial contains 5.8S ribosomal RNA, internal transcribed spacer 2, and large subunit ribosomal RNA". The stretch from base 1 to 120 matches the Rfam family "5.8S ribosomal RNA", at positions 35 to 154 of the family's 154-position model. The record is from RNAcentral.
GAUGAAGAACGCAGCGAAAUGCGAUAAGUAGUGUGAAUUGCAGAAUUCAGUGAAUCAUCGAAUCUUUGAACGCACAUUGCGCCCUUUGGUAUUCCAAAGGGCAUGCCUGUUCGAGCGUCAUUUGUACCCUCAAGCUUUGCUUGGUGUUGGGCGUCUUGUCUCUAGCUUUGCUGGAGACUCGCCUUAAAGUAAUUGGCAGCCGGCCUACUGGUUUCGGAGCGCAGCACAAGUCGCACUCUCUAUCAGCAAAGGUCUAGCAUCCAUUAAGCCUUUUUUUCAACGUUUGACCUCGGAUCAGGUAGGGAUACCCGCUGAACUUAAGCAUAUCAAUAAGCGGAGGA